UGGGGAAUAUUGCACAAUGGGCGAAAGCCUGAUGCAGCAACGCCGCGUGAGUGAUGAAGGUCUUCGGAUUGUAAAGCUCUGUCUUUUGGGACGAUAAUGACGGUACCAAAGGAGGAAGCCACGGCUAACUACGUGCCAGCAGCCGCGGUAAUACGUAGGUGGCGAGCGUUGUCCGGAUUUACUGGGCGUAAAGGGUGCGUAGGCGGAUGUUUAAGUGAGAUGUGAAAUACCCGGGCUUAACUUGGGUGCUGCAUUUCAAACUGGAUAUCUAGAGUGCAGGAGAGGAGAAUGGAAUUCCCAGUGUAGCGGUGAAAUGCGUAGAGAUUAGGAAGAACACCAGUGGCGAAGGCGAUUCUCUGGACUGUAACUGACGCUGAGGCACGAAAGCGUGGGUAGCAAACAGGAUUAGAUACCCUGGUAGUCCACGCCGUAAACGAUGAGUAUCUAGGUGUAGGAGGUAUC
This 462-nucleotide ribosomal RNA is filed under the name uncultured bacterium. RNAcentral describes it as "partial 16S ribosomal RNA". It matches the Rfam family "Bacterial small subunit ribosomal RNA", at positions 355 to 833 of the family's 1533-position model. The record is from RNAcentral.